Molecule: ribosomal RNA, 478 nt
Filed under: uncultured bacterium
Lineage: Bacteria
Description: SSU rRNA
Rfam family: Bacterial small subunit ribosomal RNA
Source: RNAcentral
AGGACGAACGCUGGCGGCGUGCUUAACACAUGCAAGUCGAGCGGAAAGGCCCUUCGGGGUACUCGAGCGGCGAACGGGUGAGUAACACGUGAGUAAUCUGCCUUCAGCUCUGGGAUAGCUCCGGGAAACCGGGAUUAAUACCGGAUAUGACCACUUCGGACAUCUGUUGUGGUGGAAAGUUUUUCGGCUGGAGAUGAGCUCGCGGCCUAUCAGCUUGUUGGUGGGGUAAAGGCCUACCAAGGCGACGACGGGUAGCCGGCCUGAGAGGGCGACCGGCCACACUGGGACUGAGACACGGCCCAGACUCCUACGGGAGGCAGCAGUGGGGAAUAUUGCGCAAUGGGCGGAAGCCUGACGCAGCGACGCCGCGUGGGGGAUGAAGGCCUUCGGGCUGUAAACCCUUUCAGCAGGGACGAAGCGCAAGUGACGGUACCUGCAGAAGAAGCGCCGGCUAACUACGUGCCAGCAGCCGCGGUAA